AACGAACGCUGGCGGCAGGCUUAACACAUGCAAGUCGAACGCACCGCAAGGUGAGUGGCAGACGGGUGAGUAACGCGUGGGAACGUGCCCUUCAGUUCGGAAUAACCCAGGGAAACUUGGGCUAAUACCGGAUACGUGCGAGAGCAGAAAGAUUUAUCGCUGAAGGAUCGGCCCGCGUCUGAUUAGCUAGUUGGUGGGUAAUGGCCCACCAAGGCGACGAUCAGUAGCNGGUCUGAGAGGAUGAUCAGCCACAUUGGGACUGAGACACGGCCCAAACUCCUACGGGAGGCAGCAGUGGGGAAUAUUGGACAAUGGGCGCAAGCCUGAUCCAGCCAUGCCGCGUGAGUGAUGAAGGCCUUAGGGUUGUAAAGCUCUUUCGGCGGGGGACGAUAAUGACGGUACCCGCAGAAGAACGCCCCGGCUAACUUCGUGCCAGCCGCCGCUGUAAU
Molecule: ribosomal RNA, 449 nt
Filed under: uncultured bacterium
Lineage: Bacteria
Description: bacterial SSU rRNA
Rfam family: Bacterial small subunit ribosomal RNA
Source: RNAcentral